RNAcentral lists this ribosomal RNA (461 nucleotides) under uncultured bacterium. RNAcentral's name for it is "partial 16S ribosomal RNA". It matches the Rfam family "Bacterial small subunit ribosomal RNA", at positions 29 to 507 of the family's 1533-position model. The record is from RNAcentral.
ACGCACGCUGGCGGCGUGCUUAACACAUGCAAGUCGCACGGUGAAGCCCUUCGGGGUGGAUCAGUGGCGAACGGGUGAGUAACACGUGAGCAACCUGCCCCUGGCUCUGGGACAACCACUGGAAACGGUGGCUAAUACCGGAUACGACCCGCCUCGGCAUCGAGUGUGGGUGGAAAGUUUUUCGGCUGGGGAUGGGCUCGCGGCCUAUCAGCUUGUUGGUGAGGUGAAGGCUCACCAAGGCGACGACGGGUAGCCGGCCUGAGAGGGCGACCGGCCACACUGGGACUGAGACACGGCCCAGACUCCUACGGGAGGCAGCAGUGGGGAAUAUUGCACAAUGGGCGAAAGCCUGAUGCAGCGACGCCGCGUGAGGGAUGACGGCCUUCGGGUUGUAAACCUCUUUCAGCUCCGAAGAAGCGAAAGUGACGGUAGGAGCAGAAGAAGCACCGGCUAACUACGUG